RNAcentral lists this non-coding RNA (30 nucleotides) under Mus musculus (house mouse). The record is from RNAcentral. Lineage: Eukaryota; Metazoa; Chordata; Mammalia; Rodentia; Muridae.
UGCUUACCUUGCUCUCAUUGGGAGUCAGAA